GCAACCAGAGUGUUAGCUUUGGCAGCACAUAGAGAGAUACAGAGAAGAUUAGCAUGGCCCCUGUGCAAGGAUGACAUGCAGGUUCAUGAAGCAACAAGAGAAAAUAUUU
Arvicanthis niloticus (Nile rat) is the source of this 109-nucleotide small nuclear RNA. Lineage: Eukaryota; Metazoa; Chordata; Mammalia; Rodentia; Muridae. The record is from RefSeq and is a predicted model, not a curated record.